GCCGGGAUAGUCGUGG
Molecule: transfer RNA, 16 nt
Filed under: Cephaloziella rubella
Lineage: Eukaryota; Viridiplantae; Streptophyta; Jungermanniopsida; Jungermanniales; Cephaloziellaceae
Description: partial tRNA-Phe
Source: RNAcentral